This 494-nucleotide ribosomal RNA is filed under the name uncultured bacterium. Its description in RNAcentral is "partial 16S ribosomal RNA". It matches the Rfam family "Bacterial small subunit ribosomal RNA", at positions 28 to 507 of the family's 1533-position model. The record is from RNAcentral.
GACGAACGCUGGCGGCGUGCUUAACACAUGCAAGUCGAACGGUGAAGCGCCUUCCUUUUUGGUGGGUGUGGAUGAGUGGCGAACGGGUGAGUAACACGUGAGUAACCUGCCCCCUUCUUCUGGAUAACCGCAUGAAAGUGUGACUAAUACGGGAUAUUCUGGGUCUGUCGCAUGAUGGGUCUGGGAAAGAUAUUGUUUCGGUGGGGGAUGGGCUCGCGGCCUAUCAGCUUGUUGGUGGGGUGAUGGCCUACCAAGGCGGUGACGGGUAGCCGGCCUGAGAGGGUGGACGGUCACACUGGGACUGAGACACGGCCCAGACUCCUACGGGAGGCAGCAGUGGGGAAUAUUGCACAAUGGGCGCAAGCCUGAUGCAGCGACGCCGCGCGAGGGAUGGAGGCCUUCGGGUUGUGAACCUCUUUCGCCAGUGAAGCAGGCCUGCCUCGUUUGUGGGUGGGUUGAUGGUAGCUGGAUAAGAAGCGCCGGCUAACUACGUG